ACGCUGGCGGCACGCCUAACACAUGCAAGUCGAACGAAGUAGCAAUACUUAGUGGCAGACGGGUGAGUAACAUGUAGGUAUCUGCCCUUUGGCCUGGAAUAACACGAGGAAACUUGUGCUAAUACCGGAUAAGUCUUUACGGAGAAAGCUUUAUGCACCAUUGGAUGAGCCUGCACUUGAUUAGUUUGUUGGUGGGGUAAUGGCCUACCAAGACUGUGAUCAAUAGCUGAUUUGAGAGGAUGAUCAGCCACAUUGGGACUGAGACACGGCCCAAACUCCUACGGGAGGCAGCAGUGGGGAAUCUUGCACAAUGGAGGAAACUCUGAUGCAGCGAUGCCGCGUGAGUGAAGAAGGCCCUUGGGUUGUAAAGCUCUUUCGUCGAGGAAGAAAAUGACUGUACCCGAAUAAGAAGGUCCGGCUAACUUCGUGCCAGCAGCCGCGGUAAUACGAAGGGACCUAGCGUAGUUCGGAAUUACUGGGCUUAAAGAGUUCGUAGGUGGUUGAAAAAGUUAGUGGUGAAAUCCCAGAGCUUAACUCUGGAACUGCCAUUAAAACUUUUUAGCUAGAGUAUGAUAGAGGAAAGCAGAAUUUCUAGUGUAGAGGUGAAAUUCGUAGAUAUUAGAAAGAAUACCAAUUGCGAAGGCAGCUUUCUGGAUCAUUACUGACACUGAGGAACGAAAGCAUGGGUAGCGAAGAGGAUUAGAUACCCUCGUAGUCCAUGCCGUAAACGAUGUGUGUUAGACGUUGGAAAUUUAUUUUCAGUGUCGCAGGGAAACCGAUAAACACACCGCCUGGGGAGUACGACCGCAAGGUUAAAACUCAAAUGAAUUGACGGGGACCCGCACAAGUAGUGGAGCAUGUGGUUUAAUUCGAAGAUACGCGCAGAACCUUACCAACACUUGACAUGUUCGUCGCGACUCUAAGAGAUUAGAGUUUUCGGUUCGGCCGGACGAAACACAGGUGCUGCAUGGCUGUCGUCAGCUCGUGUCGUGAGAUGUUGGGUUAAGUCCCGCAACGAGCGCAACCCUCACUUUUAGUUGCCAUCAUUAAGUUGGGCACUCUGAAAGAACUGCCAGUGAUAAGCUGGAGGAAGGUGGGGAUGACGUCAAGUCCUCAUGGCCCUUACGUGUUGGGCUACACACGUGCUACAAUGGUAUCUACAACAGGAAGCAAGACUGCGAAGUUAAGCAAAUCCCUAAAAGAUACCUCAGUUCGGAUUGCACUCUGCAACUCGAGUGCAUGAAGCUGGAAUUACUAGUAAUCGUGGAUCAGCGUGCCACGGUGAAUGCGUUCCCGGGUCUUGUACACACCGCC
This 1314-nucleotide ribosomal RNA is filed under the name uncultured Alphaproteobacteria bacterium. RNAcentral describes it as "uncultured alpha proteobacterium 16S ribosomal RNA". It matches the Rfam family "Bacterial small subunit ribosomal RNA", at positions 33 to 1394 of the family's 1533-position model. Lineage: Bacteria; Pseudomonadati; Pseudomonadota; Alphaproteobacteria. The record is from RNAcentral.